AGAUUCGGUUACCCGUGCGGUGAAGAAGCUAGCUGGAUAGUAAAAGUCCUGUUUUCGGUGGAAAUAAUAAGAGUGAUACUGUAUUCCAGAGGCCGUGAGCCAGCGUGAUCACUGUGAAGCCCAGUGUAGCAUUUGUUGCUUCACAUGGUCAGGUUUUUUCCUUUGCUUAUUUGGAUUGGAUUGGUUUUGAGGACCUGAGAAGAAUCGAGGAUCCCUUUUCCAGUACUGGAUGGCGAGCCCAGCCCAAAGAGCCGGAUGAACUGGUAGAUUGUAACCCGACUGGUUACAAACACACUGAGUGACUAUUGAACAUUGACAGACUGAAAUUGACUUU
Long non-coding RNA from Oreochromis niloticus (Nile tilapia), 334 nucleotides. RefSeq lists it as uncharacterized. NCBI's taxonomy places the organism in Eukaryota, Metazoa, Chordata, Actinopteri, Cichliformes, Cichlidae. The transcript has 2 exons. The record is from RefSeq and is a predicted model, not a curated record.